GAACGGUAACGCGGGGCAACCUGGCGACGAGUGGCGAACGGGUGAGUAACGCAUCGGAACGUGCCCAGUAGUGGGGGAUAGCCCGGCGAAAGCCGGAUUAAUACCGCAUACGACCUCAGGGUGAAAGCGGGGGAUCGCAAGACCUCGCGCUAUUGGAGCGGCCGAUGUCAGAUUAGGUAGUUGGUGGGGUAAAAGCCUACCAAGUCUGCGAUCUGUAGCUGGUCUGAGAGGGCGACCAGCCACACUGGGACUGAGACACGGCCCAGACUCCUACGGGAGGCAGCAGUGGGGAAUUUUGGACAAUGGGCGAAAGCCUGAUCCAGCCAUGCCGCGUGCGGGAAGAAGGCCUUCGGGUUGUAAACCGCUUUUGUCGGGGAAGAAACGUCGCGACCUAAUACGUCGCGGUAAUGACGGUACCUGAAGAAUAAGCACCGGCUAACUACGUGCCAGCAGCCGCGGUAAUACGUAGGGUGCAAGCGUUAAUCGGAAUUACUGGGCGUAAAGCGUGCGCAGGCGGUCAUGCAAGACAGAUGUGAAAUCCCCGAGCUCAACUUGGGAACUGCAUUUGUGACUGCAUGGCUUGAGUACGGCAGAGGGGGGUGGAAUUCCACGUGUAGCAGUGAAAUGCGUAGAGAUGUGGAGGAACACCAAUGGCGAAGGCAGCCCCCUGGGUCGAUACUGACGCUCAUGCACGAAAGCGUGGGUAGCAAACAGGAUUAGAUACCCUGGUAGUCCACGCCCUAAACGAUGUCAACUAGGUGUUGGGUGGGUAAAACCAUUUAGUACCGUAGCUAACGCGUGAAGUUGACCGCCUGGGGAGUACGGCCGCAAGGUUAAAACUCAAAGGAAUUGACGGGGACCCGCACAAGCGGUGGAUGAUGUGGAUUAAUUCGAUGCAACGCGAAAAACCUUACCUACCCUUGACAUGUCUGGAAUCCCGAAGAGAUUUGGGAGUGCCCGAAAGGGAGCCGGAACACAGGUGCUGCAUGGCUGUCGUCAGCUCGUGUCGUGAGAUGUUGGGUUAAGUCCCGCAACGAGCGCAACCCUUGUCGUUAAUUGCCAUCAUUUAGUUGGGCACUUUAACGAGACUGCCGGUGACAAACCGGAGGAAGGUGGGGAUGACGUCAAGUCCUCAUGGCCCUUAUGGGUAGGGCUUCACACGUCAUACAAUGGUCGGUACAGAGGGUUGCCAAGCCGCGAGGUGGAGCCAAUCCCAGAAAGCCGAUC
This 1227-nucleotide ribosomal RNA is filed under the name uncultured bacterium. RNAcentral's name for it is "partial 16S ribosomal RNA". It matches the Rfam family "Bacterial small subunit ribosomal RNA", at positions 64 to 1287 of the family's 1533-position model. The record is from RNAcentral.